GUGGGGAAUAUUGGGCAAUGGGCGCAAGCCUGACCCAGCAACGCCGCGUGAAGGAAGAAGGCUUUCGGGUUGUAAACUUCUUUUGUCAGGGAAGAUGAAGAGACGGUACCUGACGAAUAAGCCACGGCUAACUACGUGCCAGCAGCCGCGGUAAUACGUAGGUGGCAAGCGUUGUCCGGAUUUACUGGGUGUAAAGGGCGUGUAGGCGGGACUGCAAGUCAGGCGUGAAAACCAGAGGCUCAACCUCUGGCCUGCGUUUGAAACUGUGGUUCUUGAGUACUGGAGAGGUUGACGGAAUUCCUAGUGUAGCGGUGAAAUGCGUAGAUAUUAGGAGGAACACCAGUGGCGAAGGCGGUCAACUGGACAGCAACUGACGCUGAGGCGCGAAAGCGUGGGGAGCAAACAGG
RNAcentral lists this ribosomal RNA (407 nucleotides) under uncultured bacterium. Its description in RNAcentral is "bacterial SSU rRNA". It matches the Rfam family "Bacterial small subunit ribosomal RNA", at positions 354 to 776 of the family's 1533-position model. The record is from RNAcentral.